AUUGUUUUACUAGCUAACCUUAAAUAGUUAAUGAUGAACCCUUUUUCACCAUCUUUCGACUGAAAAUUACUGAUGGCAAUCUAUUGUUACCUGAUUAACCUUUUCAAGUGCAAUAGGCCAUCUUGUUGAUAAUUGUUCUAAUCAAAUCUGCUUCUUCAGGUCUCGUGGUUCCAAGCGUCGUUAACAAGCAUCUACAGGUUACCUUGGUUAUACAAUUGAACAAGACUUCCCGUACGCUGCAAGACCAUGUUUAAAUUUGCAUCAACCUGUAAUAUGUAAUAAAUAAAAAAAAUAAUAAUAAAAUAUUUAAAAUGAAA
This is a long non-coding RNA of Daphnia magna, 317 nucleotides long. RefSeq lists it as uncharacterized. The transcript has 2 exons. The record is from RefSeq and is a predicted model, not a curated record. NCBI's taxonomy places the organism in Eukaryota, Metazoa, Arthropoda, Branchiopoda, Diplostraca, Daphniidae.